CUUCGGACAAUAUACAAGGUGCUGCAUGGUUGUCGUCAGCUCGUGCCGUGAGGUGUCGGGUUAAGUCCCAUAACGAGCGCAACCCUACCUUUAGUUGCCAUCAGGUAAUGCUGGGGACUCUAAAGGAACUGCCUACGCAAGUAGUGAGGAAGGCGGGGAUGACGUCAAAUCAGCACGGCCCUUACGUCCAGGGCUACACACGUGCUACAAUGGCCGAUACAGAGGGCAGCUACCUGGUGACAGGAUGCAAAUCUCCAAAGUCGGUCUCAGUUCGGAUCGGAGUCUGCAACCCGACUCCGUGAAGUUGGAAUCGCUAGUAAUCGCGCAUCAGCCAUGGCGCGGUGAAUACGUUCCCGGGCCUU
RNAcentral lists this ribosomal RNA (362 nucleotides) under uncultured Sphingobacteriales bacterium. RNAcentral's name for it is "bacterial SSU rRNA". It matches the Rfam family "Bacterial small subunit ribosomal RNA", at positions 1020 to 1382 of the family's 1533-position model. The record is from RNAcentral. Lineage: Bacteria; Pseudomonadati; Bacteroidota; Sphingobacteriia; Sphingobacteriales.